RNAcentral lists this unclassified non-coding RNA (377 nucleotides) under uncultured Actinomycetes bacterium. RNAcentral describes it as "uncultured actinobacterium contains 16S-23S intergenic spacer region". The record is from RNAcentral. Lineage: Bacteria; Bacillati; Actinomycetota; Actinomycetes.
UCCGAGUUGACCCCGGCAGUCUCCCACGAGUCCCCGGCAUUACCCGCUGGCAACAUGGGACAGGGGUUGCGCUCGUUGCGGGACUUAACCCAACAUCUCACGACACGAGCUGACGACAACCAUGCACCACCUGUGCACGGCCCUUACGGACCCCGCAUCUCUGCGAGAUUUCCGUGCAUGUCAAGCCUAGGUAAGGUUUUUCGCGUUGCGUCGAAUUGAACCACAUGCUCCACCGCUUGUGCGGGUCCCCGUCAAUUCCUUUGAGUUUUAGCCUUGCGGCCGUACUCCCCAGGCGGGGCGCUUAAUGCGUUAGCUACGGCACGGAACCCGUGGAAAGGAUCCCACACCUAGCGCCCAACGUUUACGGUGUGGACUAC